Molecule: ribosomal RNA, 443 nt
Filed under: uncultured bacterium
Lineage: Bacteria
Description: partial 16S ribosomal RNA
Rfam family: Bacterial small subunit ribosomal RNA
Source: RNAcentral
CCUACGGGAGGCAGCAGUGGGGAAUAUUGGGCAAUGGGCGCAAGCCUGACCCAGCAACGCCGCGUGAAGGAAGAAGGCUUUCGGGUUGUAAACUUCUUUUAUCAGGGACGAAGUAAGUGACGGUACCUGAUGAAUAAGCCACGGCUAACUACGGGCCAGCAGCCGCGGUACUACGUAGGUGGCAAGCGUUAUCCGGAUUUACUGGGUGUAAAGGGAGGGUAGGGGGGGGUGCAAGUCAGUUGUGAAAUCUAUGGGCUUAACCCCGAACCUGCAUUUGAAACUGUGCUUCUUGAGUGCUGGAGAGGUAAGCGGAAUUCCGUGUGUAGCGGUGAAAUGCGUAGAUAUACGGAGGAACACCAGUGGCGAAGGCGGAUUGCUGGACAGUAACUGACGCUGAGGCGCGAAAGCGUGGGGAGCAAACAGGAUUAGAUACCCGAGUAGUC